AAAAGGCCACUAACCACCAUCACCAUUACUCAGAAGCUGUACAGCUUCUGGCGUGGCAUUUCGCCUUAAUAUUGCACUAAACUUAAAUUUUUCCUCGUUAUCCGUAAUGCAAAUAACGGCGUCCUUAUUGGCGCUCUGCGCCGCCUGUUUAGUUGGCACAGUUGCUCAUUUUGGCCAAGCUGCUCCUGUUGGUGAUCGAUUGCAAGAAAUGACGGUAGCCAUACAGCCUUCGUUCAGCAAAGGACUCGUUCAUUUAUCAAAUCUGUUUGAUUUGGUUAUGAAUUAUGACGAAACGGUCGGUAGUGGCUCCAUGGACAAUGAUGCAACAAUUCCUUAUUCAAACAGCUAUCCGAUCGGCCUCAAAUUCGCUCAACGAUACGGAAGCCAUCACCGUUCAUCACAUGAAAUUAUAUGAAGCCACUUUGCUUUCUUUGGCUACUGAUAUUUCUGCGAAAGAGGCUCAACUCCGCACUGACAACACUGAACUAGAGCAGUUGACGAUCGAAGUGAAUAAAUGGCAAGGUGAAGCGGCAAAACUUGGCCAAGAAAUUGCAGAACUUGAUAAUAAAGUGCGCGAUGCUGACCAACGAGCCGCACAUUCUCAAUCAAGGGUUCAAAGGAGACGAAAGAAUAGAUGGAAAUGGAUUGCAGCAACGGUUAUUACAGGCGGUUUAGCAACUCCAGGCCUUGUCCUCAACGAGAGAGAUAUACAAAAACUGAAAAGAGAUCGUGAUGCUUGGCAGGCUCAGGCCAAUGAACGCCGGCAAUUACUUCAGGUAGCAGAAAACAACCUUCGCGAAAUUUCAACUCGCCAACAAGCCACAGAAGAAUCUAUUCAAAAGACGCGGGCGAUUCUUGUGUCUUCUCAAGCGAUUCUGGAACAACUCCGGGCGCAGUAUGCAAUUUUGGGUGGUCUCGGGGCCCAGAUUAGAAAUGUUUCCACUUUUUUGUUCUCGUUGAACGGAGAAAUGGGCGUUAUUCACGGCCAGCAACAGUUGAUGGUUCUCUUCAGUCCUUUGUUGGAAUCUGUUAACAGUUUGGUUACUUUCCUUGAAGACAACGCCAAUAUGGUAGUUUUAAUAGGUGACAGAGAAGCUGUCUCCAAAAUCCGCCAACACCUUUCGCAAAACGUUAUGCCAGCAUUGGGAAACUGAGGAAAAAAACUUACACUUUGACCAGAACGUAGCUAUUUUAGCUGGUUUUCAAAGCUAAUUCCAAGCAAUUUAAACUUAAAUCAAUGUAAAAUCGUACUCAAAUUUUUCCUGCCCACUGUUGCAACAUUGUAUUUCCGAUGUCUUAAAAUUGGAUUUUGAGUAUUUACAUCAAGGUAACAUGAAACGAUGUACCUUAGUUGAAUAUGUAAAAGAAUUCUCAAUAAAAGCAAAAACUUUA
Daphnia magna is the source of this 1392-nucleotide RNA transcript. RefSeq lists it as uncharacterized. The transcript has 3 exons. Lineage: Eukaryota; Metazoa; Arthropoda; Branchiopoda; Diplostraca; Daphniidae. The record is from RefSeq and is a predicted model, not a curated record.